CCUACGGGAGGCAGCAGUGGGGAAUCUUGGACAAUGGGCGAAAGCCUGAUCCAGCGACGCCGCGUGGGGGAUGAAGCCCUUCGGGGUGUAAACCCCUGUUGCGAGGGAGGAAUAAGGCCUGGAGGAAAUGCCAGGCCGAUGACUGUACCUCGCGAGGAAGCCCCGGCUAACUACGUGCCAGCAGCCGCGGUAAUACGUAGGGGGCGAGCGUUACCCGGAUUCACUGGGCGUAAAGCGGGUGUAGGCGGCUCGGUAAGUCGGGUGUGAAAUCCCACAGCUCAACUGUGGAAUUGCGCCCGAAACUGCUGAGCUUGGGGCCGGUAGAGGGAGACGGAACUGCCGGUGUAGGGGUGAAAUCCGUAGAUAUCGGCAGGAACGCCGGUGGGGAAGCCGGUCUCCUGGGCCGCGCCCGACGCUGAGACCCGAAAGCUAGGGGAGCAAACC
RNAcentral lists this ribosomal RNA (444 nucleotides) under uncultured Thermotoga sp. Its description in RNAcentral is "bacterial SSU rRNA". It matches the Rfam family "Bacterial small subunit ribosomal RNA", at positions 338 to 774 of the family's 1533-position model. The record is from RNAcentral. Lineage: Bacteria; Thermotogati; Thermotogota; Thermotogae; Thermotogales; Thermotogaceae.